Molecule: unclassified non-coding RNA, 236 nt
Filed under: Hevea brasiliensis (rubber tree)
Lineage: Eukaryota; Viridiplantae; Streptophyta; Magnoliopsida; Malpighiales; Euphorbiaceae
Source: RNAcentral
AUGUCGGGCCGACCCUCGACUAUACGGUGGUGUUCCUGAACCCGGCUUUCGUGGGUGAGCGCCUUCAAAAUGCAAUCACGAAUCCCACAGUGGCUUUUGAGCACGACGGAUUGACCCGCGGCCUCGCCGAACUCUGCCGUGAGGCAGCCUCGCCGGAUAACGUUUUCAACCUCAUGGCGGAGGGAUGGUCGAUUCAGGCGCUGGCCCACAUUUCCCGGGUCAGCGAAAGAAGUCAG